AUGUCGCGUAAAACGCUUGCUUGGUCGAAUAAGGAGGUGGAGACGUUCCUCAGCAUUCUUGGGGAGGAAGACGUGCAGAGGGGGCUUGAUAGUGCAGUGAGGAACGAGAAGGUCUUCCAGCUGGUUUCUGGUCGAAUGGCGAUUGCGGGAUACGAGAAGAACACUGAGCAGUGUCGGCGGCAAUGCAAAAAGCUCCGGGCCGAGUAUGAGGAGGUGAAAGACCACAACAACCGCAGUGGCGUCGACAGGAAGAUGUGGAAGUGGUUUAACAUCAUGGACCCAAUCUACGGACACCGACCGGCGAGUAGAGGAAGAGAGGGGGCCAUCGACACGGCAACCUCUCUGCUCGAGUCCAUGUUGGAGCCUACCGGUGAGGUACCUCGCUACCAGGAAGUGCCUGACUCGGCCUUCCCAGAGGACGAAGACAUGGGGUCAAGCCGUUGUGUGAGCCCAACGCCAUCUACACCAGUCCCAGCGGAGAGUGCUGCUCUUUGCAACACCACCAACCCCACCUAUCCACGGCCUUUUGCCUUUGCCAAAAGAAGUAGGGCCAGUGAUGUUGCACUUGCCCUCCGGGAUAUGCAGGCAUCUGAUGAGAGGCGGCAGGAGCGGGAAGAGGAGCGGCAGGACCGUAGACACCGGGUCGCUCGAGAGGAGGCCCUACAGGAUGCCACCGAUGCUCGACUGCAUGAGGAUCAACGAGCAAUGCAGCGGAUGGCGCAAGUUGCAUCGUUCAACACCGCCUUCCUCCAAACCUUCAGCCAGAUGGUGCAGGCGUUUGGACACCGCGACCCUGUGCCGUGAUCCAGCCAUUCAGGGCCUGACCCUCUGAACCUUUUUUUUUGUGUGAAGACCUUUUUUUUUUUUGUGUUUUAACAUGUAAAUAAAUAUUCCUGUAUUUUUACUGUUUAAUAAAAAAAUAUAUACUAAAGCAGGAGUUGCUUUCUACACAUUUUCCAUGUACACAUUUUAUGGUCACCUUGAACUUGAGUUUACACGCCCACUGUGGGAUGGCUCACAUUUCACACAUGGGAAAAGUGGACAGCAUUGCUUAACUUUUCAAUUAAAAUGGGG
This 1074-nucleotide long non-coding RNA is filed under the name Gadus morhua (Atlantic cod). RNAcentral's name for it is "lncRNA (ENSGMOG00000036303.1)". The record is from RNAcentral. Lineage: Eukaryota; Metazoa; Chordata; Actinopteri; Gadiformes; Gadidae.